GGGCCCUGGGGGAGGGAGAUGGAGGCAGCAGUGGGACACCUACUCACCGCCAGAACUUUCUGACAGAGGCAGAAGCAGCCAGGCAGCUCCUGAACGGCCAGAAGAGGCUGCUGGCUCUCAGCCCGUGGAAGAUUUUGGCUGCACUGGGAUCGCUGGAGCAGAGUUACCGCCUGGGGAGCCGGCUGGAGUCGCUGGCCAGGACCGUGGCGCCUGCACAGGGAAAGAGUCCGGGGGAGGCGGCUCAGCGGGAGGAGGCGUGGGAGAGAAACCGGCCGCGUGGGCUGCCCGCGGGGCCAGGACCAGGACGUCCUGAGGGGCCGGGGCACGCGGAGGUGGAGGGAGCUCCCAGGAAAGGGACGAUGGACGAGGCAGCAGAGGGAACCGAGGGAGGGUCCCUGACAGACCCCACCCCACCCCCCAAAUGUGGCUGUUCACCUCGGAGACCUGCUGCGGACAUGGGUACAGCCUGGAGCAGGACCUGCACCCUCUGCCGGAAUGUGGAGCCUCAAGUUGGGCAGCAAGAAGCAAUGGCCUGAGGACAACAACUGCCUGCAUAGAUUAACCACCACCAAGGAUUAACUGCCCUCUGUCCUGGGACUCGACCCGCCACCCUCCCCUGACUGUUCCCCCUCUUCAUUGUUCCUGCCACAAGUUCCUGCCACGGAUCCUUUAUAAGCCUAGCAUCUCCGAGCAGUCGGGGCUGGCGCCACCUUGACCUCAGCCCACCCGCUUCGGGUGCCUUAAUAAAUCUCUCCUCUUGCCUGACUUGGCCUUGUGCGUUNUCUUCAUUGUUCCUGCCACAAGUUCCCGCCACGGAUCCUUUAUAAGCCUAGCAUCUCCGAGCAGUCGGGGCUGGCGCCACCUUGACCUCAGCCCACCCGCUUCGGGUGCCUUAAUAAAUCUCUCCUCUUGCCUG
This 916-nucleotide long non-coding RNA is filed under the name Sus scrofa (pig). RNAcentral's name for it is "lncRNA (ENSSSCG00060040838.1)". The record is from RNAcentral. Lineage: Eukaryota; Metazoa; Chordata; Mammalia; Artiodactyla; Suidae.